UUAGAUUGCUCUGUCCCCCAGGCUGGAGUGCAAUGGUAAAAUCUCAGCUCACUGCAACCUCCACCUCCCAGGUUCAAGCAGUUCUCCUGCCUCAGCCUCCUGAGUGGCUGGGAUUACAAGCACGCGCCAACAUGCCCCACUAAUUUUUGUAUUUUUAGUAGAGGAGGGGUUUUGCCAUGUUGGCCAGGCUGGUCUCGAACUCCUGACCUCAGAUGAUCUGCCCAUCUCAGCCUCCAACGGUGCUGGGAUUACAGGCAUGAGCCACCGCACCCAGCCGGGUGUUUCUUUACAGCAAUCAGAAAAUAGACUAAUACAGGGACAGGUGCCUGACAUGGAAGGAACAUCCAUCUUGGACUACAUGGAGUGAAAAGCAAGGGCUGAAUACGAUGGAACAAGAAGACGGAAGACGCCUGUCUUCUCAGGAUGGUGGUGCCAUUAUGCCAGCUGAAUCUAUGUGCAACAAAAAGUAAGCUUCUACCUUGUUUAACCCACUCUGAUUUGGGGUUUUCUGUCACUCACAGAUCAAUCUAAUCCUAACUAAUAUAAAUUUUAGUUACAUCUUCUUCUCCCUGCCUUUUAACUCUCCAACAACACCAGCAUCCCUUAAAAAAUGAGGCUACACAACUGUUCAUGAUAAAACUCUCCUUGUGGGAUACCCUAAGGUACCCUUAAGCACCUAAUUCUAGUCAAUAAAAGCAGGGCACGAAGCAGACUCUCCCUCACAAAAAGAUUAUGCCCUUACAUGGACAGGAAACCAAGACAAGUAUCCACAAAAGGAGAAACAUGGGCCGGGCGCGGUGGCUCACGCCUAUAAUCCCAGCACUUUGGGAGGCCGAGGUGGACGGAUCACAGGGUCAGGAGAUUGAGACCAUCCUGGCUAACAUGGUGAAACCCCGUCUCUACUAAAAUACAAAAAAAAAAUUAGCUGGGCGUGGUUGCGGGCGCCUGUGGUCCCAGCUAUUCGGGAGGCUGAGGCAGGAGAAUAGCACCAACCCGGGAGGCGGAGCUUGCAGUGAGCAGAGAUUGCGCCACUGCACUCCAGCCUGGGCAACACAGACUCCGCCUCAAAAAAAAAACAAAAAACAAAAGGAGAAAUACAGGAUGUUUUACAGUGCUUGUGGUGCUUGAUUUUUAUAUCUUGUCAUUAAGCUAUGCCUUUAUUUCCUUUGUGUUAAACCUCUAUUCUUGUUUACACCUGUUUUCUAUCUGUAGUUCA
This 1216-nucleotide long non-coding RNA is filed under the name Homo sapiens (human). RNAcentral describes it as "non-protein coding lnc-ERI1-8:1". Lineage: Eukaryota; Metazoa; Chordata; Mammalia; Primates; Hominidae. The record is from RNAcentral.